UCCGUGUUAACCACGGCAGUCUCUUUAGAGUGCCCAACUGAAUGCUGGCAACUAAAGACAAGGGUUGCGCUCGUUGCGGGACUUAACCCAACAUGUCACCACACGAGCUGACGACAGCCAUGCAGCACCUGUCUCUCUGUCGUAUUGCUACGAAGACUGUAUCUCUACAGCUGUCAGAGGAUGUCAAAUCCAGGUAAGGUUCUUCGCGUUGCUUCGAAUUAAACCACAUGAUCCACCGCUUGUGCGGGCCCCCGUCAAUUCCUUUGAGUUUUAGUCUUGCGACCGUACUUCCCAGGCGGAGUACUUAUUGCGUUAGCUCCGGUUCGGCGGGGGUCAAGACCCACCAAACCUAGUACUCAUCGUUUACAGCGUGGACUAC
RNAcentral lists this unclassified non-coding RNA (379 nucleotides) under uncultured Oligoflexales bacterium. RNAcentral describes it as "contains 16S-23S intergenic spacer region". Lineage: Bacteria; Pseudomonadati; Bdellovibrionota; Oligoflexia; Oligoflexales. The record is from RNAcentral.